RNAcentral lists this ribosomal RNA (406 nucleotides) under uncultured bacterium. Its description in RNAcentral is "partial 16S ribosomal RNA". It matches the Rfam family "Bacterial small subunit ribosomal RNA", at positions 28 to 526 of the family's 1533-position model. The record is from RNAcentral.
GACGAACGCUGGCGGCGUGCCUAAUACAUGCAAGUCGAACGACUGGCGGACGAGUGAGUAACACGUGGGAACCUACCCAUCAGAGGGGGAUAACACUUGGAAACAGGUGCUAAUACCGCAUACUGAUGGAUGGACCCGCGGUGCAUUAGCGAGUAGGUGGGGUAAAGGCGCACCUAGGCGACGAUCGCUAGCGGGUCGGAGAGGAGGAUCAGCCACACUGGAAUGGAGACACGGCCAAGACUCCGACGGGAGGCAGCAGUGGGGAAUAUUGGACAAUGGGCGCAAGCCUGAGGAAGCAAUGCCGGGUGUAGGAAGAAGGCCUUAGGGUUGUAAAGUACUUUCAGCGGGGAGGCGUUACCCGCAGAAGAAGCAACGGCUAACUCCGUGCCAGCAGCCGCGGUAAUAC